RNAcentral lists this ribosomal RNA (468 nucleotides) under uncultured bacterium. RNAcentral's name for it is "partial 16S ribosomal RNA". It matches the Rfam family "Bacterial small subunit ribosomal RNA", at positions 28 to 507 of the family's 1533-position model. The record is from RNAcentral.
GAUGAACGCUGGCGGCGUGCUUAACACAUGCAAGUCGAACGGUGAAGGCGGAGCUUGCUCUGCUGGAUCAGUGGCGAACGGGUGAGUAACACGUGAGCAAUCUGCCCCUGACUCUGGGAUAAGCGCUGGAAACGGCGUCUAAUACUGGAUACGAGCUGCGAAGGCAUCUUCAGCAGCUGGAAAGAAUUUCGGUCAGGGAUGAGCUCGCGGCCUAUCAUCUUGUUGGUGAGGUAAUGGCUCACCAAGGCGUCGACGGGUAGCCGGCCUGAGAGGGUGACCGGCCACACUGGGACUGAGACACGGCCCAGACUCCUACGGGAGGCAGCAGUGGGGAAUAUUGCACAAUGGGCGAAAGCCUGAUGCAGCAACGCCGCGUGAGGGAAGACGGCCUUCGGGUUGUAAACCUCUUUUAGCAGGGAAGAAGCGAAAGUGACGGUACCUGCAGAAAAAGCGCCGGCUAACUACGUG